Molecule: ribosomal RNA, 253 nt
Filed under: uncultured bacterium
Lineage: Bacteria
Description: partial 16S ribosomal RNA
Rfam family: Bacterial small subunit ribosomal RNA
Source: RNAcentral
GACAGAGGGUGCAAGCGUUGUUCGGAAUCAUUGGGCGUAAAGCGCACGUAGGCGGUCGUGUAAGUCGGACGUGAAAGCCCUGGGCUUAACCCAGGAAGUGCGUCUGAUACUGCACGACUUGAGUCCCGGAGAGGGUGGUGGAAUUCCUGGUGUAGAGGUGAAAUUCGUAGAUAUCAGGAGGAACACCGGUGGCGAAGGCGACCACCUGGACGGAGACUGACGCUGAGGUGCGAAAGCGUGGGGAGCAAACAGG